Molecule: long non-coding RNA, 227 nt
Filed under: Lathyrus oleraceus (garden pea)
Lineage: Eukaryota; Viridiplantae; Streptophyta; Magnoliopsida; Fabales; Fabaceae
Description: Pisum sativum (pea) long non-coding RNA (PSAT_LNC022528)
Source: RNAcentral
UUCUGUAAUACCUAUGAUGGCCUCUUCUACUCCUCUCCCAACACCUCCCUUAUUUACAACCUCUGAAAUCCCUCCUUCAACCAUCAGAACCUCUCAACCUCCACCUGUUCUAAAAAUUGCUCGUAAUUUCACAACAACCUCUGACCCUAAUCAACUAUAUCACCACAGCUCUUCCUCAUCCUCUGAACCAGAAACACCCCCAUACUUUAGUGUUUCUUCAUCAUCAU